UCUCUCUCUCUCUCUCUCUCUUUCUCUCUCUCUCUCUCUCUCUGAGGGUGUAUGUGAUUGUGUGCAAACCAUUUGGAAUUAUUAGAUUUUACUUUGUAUGAAUUGAAUUCAUUUAUUUAAGAGUCAAAAUCAGCAAGCAUCGAGCAUUUUGUGAAAAAUAUGGAAAGUGACAUAAAAACAAUAAUGAUAAAAACACAUAUAAAGAUAAUCAGAAUGAAUAUUGUAUUAAAAAUAUUUGGGUAAUUUUUUUUAUUCGUGCUGUUACUAUGGAAACCACGUGCUUUUAGACUGACUGAUUUGUACUUCAUUUUAACAUGAAAAUUUUUGUAUAUACAAAUACAAUAUUAUGUUAAAUCAUCUUAAAACUCUAUCAAUAAUUUUUUAUACUACAACACACAUUGCUGUAAUUUAAACAUCAUUAAGAAUUUACAUUUACUUCAUCCUUUGAUAUUUAUACCCGUUUUAUCUUGUUAAUUUUGCAUGCAAACACCAGUCAAUUCAGUGCACUUUUAUAAAAUUCUACAACCAUGUCAAGGUUAACUAACACUACAUAUUUAUAUUAUGACAUUUGUUCUAGAAGAAUCAAUUAAAAAAUCUUUAGGCAAGUCACCCGUUUAUAAAUAAAUACUGAUUUUAUACACCUGGAAACGUGCAAGUUUUACUCUAAAUACCUCCCUUUGAUAUUACUCUCUUACGAAAGGAGGUAAAAACGGUAUUUUGUUUACAUUGUUUACAUCCAAUAUUUCUACGGAGCUGAUUUGAGACGACUAUGGAUUUUAGUUUCUGGAUUAUAGAAGUGUUUAUUUAGUUCAUUAUCAUGAUAACUUAGUGGGUUGUAAACAGAAAAUGUGUCACAUGCAAGCCAAAUGAAUCAACUUAAAUGAGGAUGGACACUAAAAUCUACCAUGUCUACACAAAAAUUAAAAUAUCCAUACCAGACAGAUCAGAGACAAUGCUUGAAAUAUUUAAAUUUUGCAAAAGAAGAGGAUGAAAGUGCACUUGAAAAAAAAAACCCAGACCAACAAAUACUAUAGUUGACAAGGGAUGAUUUUCUUUAGCAGAAUUUCUUUCAUCCUUGAAGAUAAACAGCUAUGUUAGCCACUUUGCUCCACAGAAAAGAAGAGCUGGCUUUCAACUAAAACUGAAAAUCUUAUCAAAUAGAAUUCAAAAUUAUAUAUAAUUAUAUAUAGGGAUAUUUGGGUUAAAUACAAUGGUACAAACAAGUAUUUUCUGAACUAUUUCAAAGCAAAUGUGUGCCUGACUUAUACUCUGUCUAUUUUUGAAAAUAAGAUGUGUUCAUAUGUCAAUGCUGAUGCAUAAUGAUUUAUUACCACUUGAUCAUUUGAGUUGUUGAAUUAUUUUCAGUGAAAAUUAUUACAAUUAAUGAUGGUAAAAAUUAAAGUUGAUAUUCAUAA
Long non-coding RNA from Magallana angulata, 1415 nucleotides. RefSeq lists it as uncharacterized. The transcript is spliced from 2 exons. The record is from RefSeq and is a predicted model, not a curated record. NCBI's taxonomy places the organism in Eukaryota, Metazoa, Mollusca, Bivalvia, Ostreida, Ostreidae.